RNAcentral lists this ribosomal RNA (429 nucleotides) under Bacteroidota bacterium. RNAcentral's name for it is "Bacteroidetes bacterium partial 16S ribosomal RNA". It matches the Rfam family "Bacterial small subunit ribosomal RNA", at positions 355 to 776 of the family's 1533-position model. The record is from RNAcentral. Lineage: Bacteria; Pseudomonadati; Bacteroidota.
UAGGGAAUCUUCGGCAAUGGGGGGAACCCUGACCGAGCAACGCCGCGUGAGUGAAGAAGGUUUUCGGAUCGUAAAGCUCUGUUGUUAAGGAAGAACGAGUGUGAGAAUGGAAAGUUCAUGCUGUGACGGUACUUAACCAGCAAGGGACGGCUAACUACGUGCCAGCAGCCGCGGUAAUACGUAGGUCCCGACCGUUGUCCGGAUUUAUUGGGCGUAAAGCGAGCGCAGGCGGUUAGAUAAGUCUGAAGUGAAAGGCGGUGGCUCAACCAUUGUAGGCUUUGGAAGCUGUUUAACGUGAAUGCAGAGGGGGAGGGUGGAAUUCCAUGUGUAGCGGUGAAAUGCGUGAAUAUAUGGAGGAACACCGGUGGAGAAAGCGGCUCUCUGGUCUGUUGCUGACGCAGAGGCUCGAAAGCGUGGGGAGCGAACAGG